This 465-nucleotide ribosomal RNA is filed under the name uncultured bacterium. RNAcentral describes it as "partial 16S ribosomal RNA". It matches the Rfam family "Bacterial small subunit ribosomal RNA", at positions 28 to 507 of the family's 1533-position model. The record is from RNAcentral.
GACGAACGCUGGCGGCGUGCUUAACACAUGCAAGUCGAACGGAAAGGCCCCUUUGGGGGUACUCGAGUGGCGCACGGGUGAGUAACACGUGAGUAACCUGCCCUUGACUUCGGGAUAACUUCAGGAAACUGGGGCCAAUACCGGAUAGGAAUCCUUGCUGCAUGGUGGGGGUUGGAAAGCUUCGGCGGUUUUGGAUGGACUCGCGGCUUAUCAGCUUGCUGGUGGGGUAGUGGCUUACCAAGGCUUUGACGGGUAGCCGCCCUGUGAGGGCGACCGGCCAUAUUGGGACUGACAGACGGCCCAGGUUCCGACGCGACGGAAAAGGGGGAAAGAUUGACCGAGGAGCGGAGGGCUGAUGCAGAAAGGCCGCGUGCCGGAUGACGGCGUUAGGGGUGAAAAACGCAUUCAGCAGGGGCGAAGCUUGUGGUGACGGUACCUGCAGAAGAAGCACCGGCUAACUACGUG